UGGCGGGACGGGGUGGAGUAAUGUCUGGGAAACUGCCUGAUGGGAGGGGGUAACUACUGGAAACGGUAGCUAAUACCGCAUAACGUCGCAAGACCAAAGAGGGGGACCUUAGGGCCUCUUGCCAUCGGAUGUGCCCAGAUGGGAUUAGCUAGUAGGUGGGGGAAGGGCUCACCUAGGCGACGAUCCCUAGCUGGUCUGAGAGGAUGACCAGCCACACUGGAACUGAGACACGGUCCAG
This 238-nucleotide ribosomal RNA is filed under the name uncultured bacterium. RNAcentral's name for it is "partial 16S ribosomal RNA". It matches the Rfam family "Bacterial small subunit ribosomal RNA", at positions 104 to 334 of the family's 1533-position model. The record is from RNAcentral.